GACGAACGCUGGCGGCGUGCUUAACACAUGCAAGUCGAACGGAAAGGCCCUGCUUUUGUGGGGUGCUCGAGUGGCGAACGGGUGAGUAACACGUGAGUAACCUGCCCUUGACUUUGGGAUAACUUCAGGAAACUGGGGCUAAUACCGGAUAGGAGCUCCUGCUGCAUGGUGGGGGUUGGAAAGUUUCGGCGGUUGGGGAUGGACUCGCGGCUUAUCAGCUUGUUGGUGGGGUAGUGGCUUACCAAGGCUUUGACGGGUAGCCGGCCUGAGAGGGUGACCGGCCACAUUGGGACUGAGAUACGGCCCAGACUCCAACGGGAGGCAGCAGUGGGGAAUAUUGCACAGUGGGCGGAAGCCGGAUGCAGCAGCGCCGCGUGCGGGAUGACGGCCUUCGGGUUGUAAACCGCUUUCGCCUGUGACGAAGCGUGAGUGACGGUAAUGGGUAAAGAAGCACCGGCUAACUACGUG
RNAcentral lists this ribosomal RNA (468 nucleotides) under uncultured bacterium. Its description in RNAcentral is "partial 16S ribosomal RNA". It matches the Rfam family "Bacterial small subunit ribosomal RNA", at positions 28 to 507 of the family's 1533-position model. The record is from RNAcentral.